CCGGUAAACGGCGGCCGUAACUAUAACGGUCCUAAGGUAGCGAAAUUCCUUGUCGGGUAAGUUCCGACCUGCACGAAUGGCGUAACGAUGGCCACACUGUCUCCUCCCGAGACUCAGCGAAGUUGAAGUGUUUGUGAUGAUGCAAUCUCCCCGCGGCUAGACGGAAAGACCCCAUGAACCUUUACUGUAGCUUUGCAUUGGACUUUGAACCGAUCUGUGUAGGAUAGGUGGGAGGCUAUGAACCCAGGACGCUAGUUCUGGUGGAGCCGUCCUUGAAAUACCACCCUGGUUUGUUUGAGGUUCUAACCUUGGUCCGUGAUCCGGGUCGGGGACAGUGCAUGGUAGGCAGUUUGACUGGGGCGGUCUCCUCCCAAAGCGUAACGGAGGAGUACGAAGGUACGCUAGGUACGGUCGGAAAUCGUGCUGAUAGUGCAAUGGCAUAAGCGUGCUUAACUGCGAGACCGACAAGUCGAGCAGGUGCGAAAGCAGGUCAUAGUGAUCCGGUGGUUCUAUAUGGAAGGGCCAUCGCUCAACGGAUAAAAGGUACUCUGGGGAUAACAGGCUGAUACCGCCCAAGAGUUCAUAUCGACGGCGGUGUUUGGCACCUCGAUGUCGGCUCAUCUCAUCCUGGGGCUGUAGCCGGUCCCAAGGGUAUGGCUGUUCGCCAUUUAAAGAGGUACGUGAGCUGGGUUUAAAACGUCGUGAGACAGUUUGGUCCCUAUCUGCCGUGGGCGUUGGAUAUUUGAAGGGGGCUGCUCCUAGUACGAGAGGACCGGAGUGGACGAACCUCUGGUGUACCGGUUGUGACGCCAGUCGCAUCGCCGGGUAGCUAUGUUCGGAAAAGAUAACCGCUGAAAGCAUCUAAGCGGGAAACUCGCCUUAAGAUGAGAUAUCCCCGGGGCUUCGAGCCCCUUGAAGGGUCGUUCCAGACCAGGACGUUGAUAGGUCAGGGGUGUAAGUGUAGUAAUGCAUUGAGCUAACUGAUACUAAUUGCCCGUAAGGCUUGAUCCU
This 1011-nucleotide non-coding RNA is filed under the name Candidatus Burkholderia humilis. RNAcentral describes it as "bacterial LSU rRNA". It matches the Rfam family "Bacterial large subunit ribosomal RNA", at positions 1920 to 2925 of the family's 2925-position model. The record is from RNAcentral. Lineage: Bacteria; Pseudomonadati; Pseudomonadota; Betaproteobacteria; Burkholderiales; Burkholderiaceae.